Molecule: ribosomal RNA, 253 nt
Filed under: uncultured bacterium
Lineage: Bacteria
Description: partial 16S ribosomal RNA
Rfam family: Bacterial small subunit ribosomal RNA
Source: RNAcentral
UACGUAGGGGGCAAGCGUUGUCCGGAUUUAUUGGGCGUAAAGGGCGCGUAGGCGGCCACGCACGUCCGUUGUGAAAUCGCCCGGCUCAACUGGGCGGGGUCGGCGGAUACGGCGUGGCUGGAGCAAGCUAGGGGGCAAUGGAAUUCCCGGUGUAGUGGUGGAAUGCGUAGAUAUCGGGAGGAACACCAGUGGCGAAGGCGGUUGCCUGGAGCUUUGCUGACGCUGAGGCGCGAAAGCGUGGGGAGCGAUCCGG